This 253-nucleotide ribosomal RNA is filed under the name uncultured Longilinea sp. Its description in RNAcentral is "partial 16S ribosomal RNA". It matches the Rfam family "Bacterial small subunit ribosomal RNA", at positions 524 to 776 of the family's 1533-position model. Lineage: Bacteria; Bacillati; Chloroflexota; Anaerolineae; Anaerolineales; Anaerolineaceae. The record is from RNAcentral.
AACGUAGGAGGCGAGCGUUAUCCGGAUUUACUGGGCGUAAAGCGCGUGUAGGCGGCUCGGCAAGUUGGAUGUGAAAGCUCCUGGCUUAACUGGGAGAGGUCGUUCAAAACUACCGGGCUUGAGGAUGUGAGAGGGAAGUGGAAUUCCGGGUGUAGUGGUGAAAUGCGUAGAUAUCCGGAGGAACACCAGUGGCGAAAGCGGCUUCCUGGCACAUAUCUGACGCUCAAACGCGAAAGCUAGGGUAGCAAACGGG